This 301-nucleotide ribosomal RNA is filed under the name uncultured bacterium. Its description in RNAcentral is "partial 16S ribosomal RNA". It matches the Rfam family "Bacterial small subunit ribosomal RNA", at positions 509 to 808 of the family's 1533-position model. The record is from RNAcentral.
CAGCCGCGCGGUAAUACAGAGGGUGCAAGCGUUAAUCGGAAUUACUGGGCGUAAAGCGCGCGUAGGUGGUUUGUUAAGUUGGAUGUGAAAGCCCCGGGCUCAACCUGGGAACUGCAUCCAAAACUGGCAAGCUAGAGUACGGUAGAGGGUGGUGGAAUUUCCUGUGUAGCGGUGAAAUGCGUAGAUAUAGGAAGGAACACCAGUGGCGAAGGCGACCACCUGGACUGAUACUGACACUGAGGUGCGAAAGCGUGGGGAGCAAACAGGAUUAGAUACCCGUGUAGUCCCUGUCUCUUAUACC